GGCGGAGCAGUGGAGCCGUCUCACAGGUGGCGCAGAGCAUGGGGAAUCCUCCUGAUCGAGGUAGAAGGCCCUGUGCCCCGCUGAAGGUCUUUCUGAAUCGUCAGGUGAGGAAGAUGUUUUGAGAGGAACUGACACAGUCUCAGGCGCCCCAUAGUGUCUCCAGGAGAGCUCCAGAGCAUAACUCCAAAGACUCCUGUCUCCAAGAAGUCUACUCAAAGAAGGGCUGGCCACCUCUUCCCAGGGCAGCCCCACUGUUCUACUUAGAUGGAAGGCAAGUUUCUUCCACCAUACGGCAUGGACACCCUUCCAAGAUGGCAGUCCCCAUGGAGCAGCGCCACUUGCGAACAGUCAUAUUCUGAGCCCAACAGAACUGGGGAUGGUAAGGAAACUUUCACAGACUGCUCGGUAACUGCGCCCUGUUGACUGCAGACCGUAGCUUCGCAGGUGCUUUUGAGCAUGCGCACCAAACACCUGCCC
Long non-coding RNA from Prionailurus viverrinus (fishing cat), 477 nucleotides. RefSeq lists it as uncharacterized. Lineage: Eukaryota; Metazoa; Chordata; Mammalia; Carnivora; Felidae. The record is from RefSeq and is a predicted model, not a curated record. The transcript is spliced from 3 exons.